CCACUGGUUUUUUUAAAAACCAACAGAAUCUUUGUAAAAUGUUGUUU
Molecule: non-coding RNA, 47 nt
Organism: Equus caballus (horse)
Lineage: Eukaryota; Metazoa; Chordata; Mammalia; Perissodactyla; Equidae
Source: Rfam